CCAAACUUGGUCAUUUAGAGGAAGUAAAAGUCGUAACAAGGUUUCCGUAGGUGAACCUGCGGAAGGAUCAUUAACAAAUCCACGUGUGCCGCGCCGCGCUGCCCCGUGCACGCCGGCCGGCCACAUGCGCUCCGUGUGCAUGCAUGCAUUCGUUGCACGCACUGCACGCUGACAUUUCUGCGAAUCGUCUGAUUGUCCGCUCAACAACUAGUCAACUUUUAACAAUGGAUCUCUAGGCUCCUGCAUCGAUGAAGAACGCAGC
RNAcentral lists this unclassified non-coding RNA (262 nucleotides) under uncultured fungus. RNAcentral describes it as "partial contains small subunit ribosomal RNA, internal transcribed spacer 1, and 5.8S ribosomal RNA". The stretch from base 1 to 73 matches the Rfam family "Eukaryotic small subunit ribosomal RNA", at positions 1759 to 1831 of the family's 1831-position model. The record is from RNAcentral. Lineage: Eukaryota; Fungi.